This 82-nucleotide transfer RNA is filed under the name Pseudopedinella elastica. Its description in RNAcentral is "tRNA-Leu". It matches the Rfam family "tRNA". Rfam says of the family: Transfer RNA (tRNA) molecules are approximately 80 nucleotides in length. Their secondary structure includes four short double-helical elements and three loops (D, anti-codon, and T loops). Lineage: Eukaryota; Dictyochophyceae; Pedinellales. The record is from RNAcentral.
AGGUAGGUGGCGAAAUUGGUAUACGCAUCACACUCAAAAUGUGACAAUGAAAAUUUUGAGGGUUCGAAUCCCUUCCUACCUA